This 510-nucleotide ribosomal RNA is filed under the name uncultured Ascomycota. Its description in RNAcentral is "eukaryotic LSU rRNA". The stretch from base 167 to 320 matches the Rfam family "5.8S ribosomal RNA". Lineage: Eukaryota; Fungi; Ascomycota. The record is from RNAcentral.
CAUUACAGAGUUCAUGCCCUCACGGGUAGAUCUCCCACCCUAUGUUAUUACAACGAUGUUGCUUUGGCAGGCCGCCUCUCGAGGCUACCGGCUCCGGCUGGUGCGCGCCUGCCAGAGAACCCCAAACUCUGAAAUUAGUGUUGUCUGAGUACUAUAUAAUAGUUAAAACUUUCAACAACGGAUCUCUUGGUUCUGGCAUCGAUGAAGAACGCAGCGAAAUGCGAUAAGUAAUGUGAAUUGCAGAAUUCAGUGAAUCAUCGAAUCUUUGAACGCACAUUGCGCCCCUUGGUAUUCCGGGGGGCAUGCCUGUUCGAGCGUCACUACAACCUUCAAGCUCUGCUUGGUAUUGGGCCACGCCAGCGAUGGCGAGCCUUAAAAUCAGUGGCGGUGCCGCUGGGCUCUGAGCGUAGUAACUACUCCUCGCUACUGGGUCCCGGUGGAUGCUUGCCAUCAACCCCCAAUUUUUCUAUGGUUGACCUCGGAUCAGGUAGGGAUACCCGCUGAACUUAA